AGCGAACGCUGGCGGCAGGCUUAACACAUGCAAGUCGAGCGGGCACUUUCGGGUGUCAGCGGCGGACGGGUGCGUAACGCGUGGUAACAUGCCCUCUGGUUCGUAAUAACUCAGGGAAACUUGAGCUAAUACCGGAUACGCCCUUUUGGGGAAAGGCUUGCUGCCGGAGGAUCGGCCCGCGUCUGAUUAGCUAGUUGGUGCGGUAACGGCUCACCAAGGCGACGAUCAGUAGCCGGUCUGAGAGGAUGAUCAGCCACACUGGGACUGAGACACGGCCCAGAAUCCUACGGGAGGCAGCAGUGGGGAAUAUUGGACAAUGGGGGCAAGCCUGAUCCAGCCAGGCCGGGUGAGUGAUGAAGGCCUGAGGGUUGUAAAGCUCUUUUAUCCGGGACGAUAAUGACGGUACCGGAGGAAUAAGCCCCGGCUAACUUCGUG
This 435-nucleotide ribosomal RNA is filed under the name uncultured bacterium. RNAcentral describes it as "partial 16S ribosomal RNA". It matches the Rfam family "Bacterial small subunit ribosomal RNA", at positions 29 to 507 of the family's 1533-position model. The record is from RNAcentral.